RNAcentral lists this ribosomal RNA (776 nucleotides) under uncultured Neocallimastigales. RNAcentral's name for it is "partial large subunit ribosomal RNA". It matches the Rfam family "Eukaryotic large subunit ribosomal RNA", at positions 24 to 644 of the family's 3401-position model. Lineage: Eukaryota; Fungi; Neocallimastigomycota; Neocallimastigomycetes; Neocallimastigales. The record is from RNAcentral.
UCGCAUCUGUGCAUGCAGCAUAUCAAUAAGCGGAGGAAAAGAAACUAACAAGGAUUCCCCUAGUAACGGCGAGUGAAGCGGGAAGAGCUCAAAUUUGAAAUCUUAAAGGGUUUCCCUUUACGAAUUGUAGUUUAAAGAAGUGUUUUCUGUUGAGGUUUUGGUAAAAGUUCUUUGGAAUAGGGACAUCAUAGAGGGUGAGAAUCCCGUAUUUGACCUUUACUUUCAACUUUGUGAUACACUUUCAAAGAGUCGGAUUGUUUGGGAAUGCAGUCCAAAAUGGGUGGUAAAUUUCAUCUAAAGCUAAAUAUUGGCGAGAGACCGAUAGCGAACAAGUACCGUGAGGGAAAGAUGAAAAGAACUUUGAAAAGAGAGUUAAACAGUACGUGAAAUUGUCAAAAGGGAAGCGUUUGACACCAGUGUUGUUUUUCUGAAAAUCAAUUAAAGAACUGUUUAUGCUAAGCUGUUUAGACUUUAUCAGCUAUCUGUUUAGUUUUGAGCUUUUCUUUAAUGCACUUUUCAGUUAACAAGUCAACAUCAAUUUCUUUUGCUGUAAAAAAGCUUGAGGAAGGUGGCUUGAGAUUCGUCUUAAGUGUUUAUAGCCUCUUGCCUAUGCAGUCGGAGAGAUUGAGGUCUGCAGCGUAGAUCCUUCGGGGCUAAGUGCAUUUGUGCUAAGUUAUAGCAUUUUAUAGACAACUUGUUGACUAUGAUUUGUCUUGUAGCUUACUCGCUUAUGUUAUUUUACCUACGCUUAGGAUGUUGAAUCUGUGCGAGACUAC